This is a long non-coding RNA of Perca flavescens (yellow perch), 801 nucleotides long. RefSeq lists it as uncharacterized. The transcript has 3 exons. The record is from RefSeq and is a predicted model, not a curated record. Lineage: Eukaryota; Metazoa; Chordata; Actinopteri; Perciformes; Percidae.
AUGGCUGCAGGACAGGAGGAGCUCAGGAGGGCUGUCUCUGCAGUACUUCCGGACCUCCCCGCAGACGCACUAACUACCUUGAUGGCAGGCCUGGAGGAACUUGGUGUAGAGAACAAGGAGGACAUGAGCCUUCUAAGUGAAGAGAAUCUUCUGCCCUUUCUCCGUGUGGUCCAGUCUAGAAAGCUCCUCCGUGCCUUUUCAUCUCAAGGUUACUUCUCAGUCCUGUCUCCUCCUGGCUCUCCACAACUCUCCUCAACCCUGUCCCCCGCAGGAAGUCCACAACUCUCCUCACCUGAGACACCCCGAACAUCCAACCCAAUAGCUCUGCCCUCACCACGCACACCAUGGCCUGUACAUUUUAAGGUUAACUGGGAAAAGAUGACAUCAGAGAUCCAGUCAGCCAUCGCAAAUUCUACUAGCCCAAAUCCUGCAGAAGAGCGAUGGUCAGAGAGCUUGUCGAUCAAAUGAGGGUGCACAAUGCAAAUCCAAAUAGAGGGAUCUGUUUGAAAGUUGUAAACGAUAUAAUACAGAAGUACCCCACAUGUUUUGGGGAUGUGGACGAUGGUGAAAAUACAGCUGGAGCAUCGUUCGUCCAGCAAGUAAAAACCAGAAUCGAGCACGUCAACCGAAACAACACAUUGGCACGGUUAAGAAAGAAUAAGCACAGCAAUCCCCAGGCGAGGACAAAUGGAAGAGGUCCUGUUGAUCAGUAUGGAUGUGUCAGAUGGGCACCUCAAGAACUCCCCUCAGGGGAGACUGAAGAAACCCUACAAGAGAUGAAGACUCAGAUGCAGCAGCUAU